This 429-nucleotide ribosomal RNA is filed under the name uncultured bacterium. Its description in RNAcentral is "bacterial SSU rRNA". It matches the Rfam family "Bacterial small subunit ribosomal RNA", at positions 354 to 776 of the family's 1533-position model. The record is from RNAcentral.
GUCUAGAGGCUUCGGCAAUGGGGGAAACCCUGACCGAGCGACGCCGCGUGCGGGAUUGAAGGCGCUACGCGUCGUAAACCGCUGUCAGAGGGGAAGAAGACCCGAAUGGUGAAUUCGGGAGUGACGGUACCCUCGAAGGAAGCACCGGCUAACUCCGUGCCAGCAGCCGCGGUAAUACGGAGGGUGCAAGCGUUGUUCGGAUUUACUGGGCGUAAAGAGAGCGUAGGCGGCCGGUUAAGUCCGGUGUGAAAACUUCACCGCUCAACGGGAAGCUGUCACCGGAAACUGGUCGGCUGGAGUAUGGUAGAGGCAAGCGGAAUUCCUGGUGUAGCGGUGGAAUGUGUAGAUAUCAGGAAGAACAUCGGUGGCGAAGGCGGCUUGCUGGGCCAUUACUGACGCUGAGGCUCGAAAGCGUGGGGAGCAAACGGG